Molecule: ribosomal RNA, 660 nt
Filed under: uncultured bacterium
Lineage: Bacteria
Description: bacterial SSU rRNA
Rfam family: Bacterial small subunit ribosomal RNA
Source: RNAcentral
AGUGGCGGACGGGUGAGUAGCGCGUGAGAAUCUGCCUUGGGGUCGGGGACAACCACUGGAAACGGUGGCUAAUACCGGAUAAGCCGAUUGGUGAAAGAUUUAUUGCCCGAAGAGGAGCUCGCGUCUGAUUAGCUAGUUGGUGAGGUAAGAGCUCACCAAGGCAGCGAUCAGUAGCUGGUCUGAGAGGACGAUCAGCCACACUGGGACUGAGACACGGCCCAGACUCCUACGGGAGGCAGCAGUGGGGAAUUUUCCGCAAUGGGCGAAAGCCUGACGGAGCAAGACCGCGUGAGGGAGGAAGGCUCUUGGGUUGUAAACCUCUUUUCUCAGGGAAGAAGCUCUGACGGUACCUGAGGAAUCAGCCUCGGCUAACUCCGUGCCAGCAGCCGCGGUAAUACGGAGGAGGCAAGCGUUAUCCGGAAUUAUUGGGCGUAAAGCGUCCGCAGGUGGCGAUUCAAGUCUGCUGUCAAAGCACGGGGCUUAACUCCGUAAAGGCAGUGGAAACUGAAUAGCUAGAGUGCCGUAGGGGUAGAGGGAAUUCCCGGUGUAGCGGUGAAAUGCGUAGAGAUCGGGAAGAACAUCGGUGGCGAAAGCGCUCUACUGGACGGCAACUGACACUCAGGGACGAAAGCUAGGGGAGCGAAUGGGAUUAGAUACCCC